Molecule: long non-coding RNA, 376 nt
Filed under: Carica papaya (papaya)
Lineage: Eukaryota; Viridiplantae; Streptophyta; Magnoliopsida; Brassicales; Caricaceae
Description: long non-coding RNA (CPAP_LNC015429)
Source: RNAcentral
GGCCAACCGAGACCCCAUAACAUAUUGUUCCACAGAGAUAUGUAUGAAGCUGGCUGAAACCGACCAAAACUGACUGAAAACGGGCAGGCCGAGGUAAACCACUGUCGCAAGUGGUGGUGUCGUCCUUGGAGCACGGCGGUGCCACGGUGCUGGAACCUUGAAGUUGGCCGAAAAAGAUUUUUUAUACCAAUUUUGAAUUUCUAGGGUAUUUUUAGAUACGUGACAAAUGUUUUGAAUUCUACAGGGAUAAUUCAAGAAAUUCGGAACCCAUUAGAAACCGUAAUAGACAGCACGACAUUCUGAAAUACUGAUUUAGGUAAGGAUCCUUCACAAUUUUCUCUGUUACGAUAAAUUACGGUUUAAUGUUAAUAAUUGU